AGAGACAAACAACACAAACAGAAUAACAGCACACGAAAUGACAACCAAAACCAAAAAGAAACACACAAAACAGGAAAAUAAAGCACACAGCAAAAUCAAAACCAGAGACUGAAAAGCACCACAAGCCCCCAAAACAGACGCCUAAAGAACACCAGCUAACCGUUCCUCUUCUUCUCAAACCCAUAGAAGCCACAAACAGAGGAAACUACAGCUUUGAACCACCCACGCCGGAGAUUCAAAGAACCUUCUCCGCGACUUCAAAGCCCCAAAGCUCUCAGCAGUGGCGUCUCCAGUCCGAACAGUCUUCAGCCACCAGAUUUUCAACAGAAAUUGGCACCUCCUCAACCCAGAAACAUGGUGAGGUCCGCCUGCGCCCCUCUAAAACCAGAGUGUGAGCCGCUCUAUUAACAGUUCUCGGGACAAACUGUUGUUAGCUUCUUUAUAAUCGUAAGCGAAUCCCCUUCCAAGAUGACCAACCUGAAGCCCAUAUCAAUCGCAAAAAGGAGAGCAC
Molecule: long non-coding RNA, 511 nt
Organism: Gossypium arboreum
Lineage: Eukaryota; Viridiplantae; Streptophyta; Magnoliopsida; Malvales; Malvaceae
Exons: 2
Source: RefSeq, a predicted model, not a curated record